GUUUUUGUAGUUGAUUUACAACGGUGGUUUUUCAGGCCACAGGACUCAGAAGAGUAAAAACU
Molecule: transfer RNA, 62 nt
Filed under: Sistrurus catenatus (massasauga)
Lineage: Eukaryota; Metazoa; Chordata; Lepidosauria; Squamata; Viperidae
Description: tRNA-Glu
Source: RNAcentral